CUGAAGAGUUUGAUCAUGGCUCAGAUUGAACGUUGGCGGCACGCCUAAUACAUGCAAGUCGAACGAGAAAGUACCUUCGGGUAUGAGUACAGUGGCGGACGGGUGAGUAACGCGUAGGAAUCUACCUUCAGGUGGGGGACAACUCGGGGAAACUCGAGCUAAUACCGCAUAAUACCUAAGGGUCAAAGUGGGGGACCUUCGGGCCUCACGCCAGGAGAGGAGCCUGCGUUAGAUUAGCUAGUUGGUGGGGUAAAGGCCCACCAAGGCGACGAUCUAUAGCUGGUCUGAGAGGACGAUCAGCCACACUGGGACUGAGACACGGCCCAGACUCCUAC
This 335-nucleotide ribosomal RNA is filed under the name Isochrysis galbana. RNAcentral's name for it is "partial Bacterial small subunit ribosomal RNA". It matches the Rfam family "Bacterial small subunit ribosomal RNA", at positions 1 to 342 of the family's 1533-position model. The record is from RNAcentral. Lineage: Eukaryota; Haptophyta; Isochrysidales; Isochrysidaceae.